CUGGUUGAGCCUACCAGUAAUAUACGCUUUGUCUCAAAGGUUAAGCCAUGCAUGUCUAAGUACAAACAUAAAUGAAUGUGAACCGCAUAAGGCUCAGUAUAACAGCUAUAAUUCACAAGAUCAUCCUACACUAGUUACUUGGAUAAUGUGGAAAAUCCAGAGCUAAUACAUGCAACAUGCCGGGACUGUUGCCCUCGCGGGUAGCUGAACUGGUGCACUUAUUAGUUAAACCAAUCGCCUCGGGGCGGUUUGAGUUGAAGUCUGGAUAAGACGCAGAUCGUUAUGGUCGCUUGUCGACUGCGACAGAUCUUUCAAAUGUCUUGCCUAUCAACUAUUGAUGUAGUGUAGAGAUACCAUGGUUGCGACGGGUAACGGGGAAUCAGGGUUCGAUUCCGGAGAGGGAGCCUGAGAGAAAUGGCUACCACAUCCAAGGAAGGCACGCAGGCGCGUAAAUUACCCAAUCCCAGUACGGGAGGUAGUGACGCAGAAAUAACCAAAUAUGGACCUCUCUAAACGAUGGUCCAUAAUUGGAAUGAGUGAGUAUAAAUCCUUCAACAAGGAUCAAGUGAGGGCAAGUCUGGUGCCAGCAGCCGCGGUAAUUCAGCGUCCACUAGCGUAUAUUAAAGUUGUUGCGGUUAAACGUUCGAAGUUGAUUGCCCGUCCAGACACGUGACCGCCACCGGGCGCCCGGGUUACACGCCGGGGCCGUUCGUGCGCUGCGCUCCCACGGCUGCUACUCACAAUGGUGUACUUGGGCGUUACUCUGUGAACGAGUACCCGUGCUACGGUUAACUCCGGCACGGGCUCUCAUUGGUGCUCCAGAUACUCCACAUUUUACCUUAGACAAAUUUAGAGUGUCUCAAAGCAGGCUAAGACAAAGCGUCCGGCCCCCCCGUGUGGGUUGGCGUUGGCCGAGAAUAAUCUUGCAUGGAAUAAUGGAAUAUGACCUCGGUUAUACGAUUUCGUUGGGUUUGUCAGAAAACCUAGAGGUAAUGAUUAACAGAAUUAGUUGGGGCAUUGGUAUUACGGCGCGAGAUGGUGAAAUUUCGCUAGACGUCGUAGGACCAACUUGAAGCGAAAGCGUUUGCCAUGGAUGCUUUCUUUAAUCAAGAACGAAAGUUAGAGGAUCGAAGGCGAUUAGAUACCGCCCUAGUUCUAACCGUACUUGCCAAUUAUUCUAAGGGAAGACGCAUACCCCUAUUCUCUCUCUCAGUCCUUCCGGUGAAACCAAAAUCAUCGGUGGGG
This 1245-nucleotide ribosomal RNA is filed under the name Anopheles funestus (African malaria mosquito). Its description in RNAcentral is "eukaryotic small subunit ribosomal RNA". It matches the Rfam family "Eukaryotic small subunit ribosomal RNA", at positions 4 to 1116 of the family's 1831-position model. Lineage: Eukaryota; Metazoa; Arthropoda; Insecta; Diptera; Culicidae. The record is from RNAcentral.